GGGGGCGCUCCGGUUUCGACGGGGGCAAGGGGGUUAGGGCUGCGUGCCGAGGUCCCAUCUCCUCGUGAAAAGGUGGGAACACAAGCAACUGCCAACCACGAAUUGGCACUGGCUGCCUAAGGGUGGCCACGUCCAACCUGCUUCGUCCGUCGGGCAGGAUCUGGGCGCCGUCUAGACGGGCUGGCCUUCCUCUAUCGCUCUGGAGAGGCGGGCGAGACCAAGUGAGCUAGCCGCUCCGUGACCCCGCCUGUGGGGGCUGGGAGGGGCGAACGAGCAUUCGCAGGCUACGCACGUAGAUGUCCUUUCCGACAUGUCCUCGGACGCGGGUUCGACUCCCGCCGCCUCCACCA
RNAcentral lists this transfer-messenger RNA (350 nucleotides) under Candidatus Methylomirabilota bacterium. It matches the Rfam family "transfer-messenger RNA". Rfam says of the family: Bacterial tmRNA, also known as 10Sa RNA or SsrA, is named for its dual tRNA and mRNA-like properties. Its role is to liberate the mRNA from a stalled ribosome. Lineage: Bacteria; Methylomirabilota (SeqCode). The record is from RNAcentral. RNAcentral also lists the same sequence under 1 other name.